UAUGGAGAGUUUGAUCCUGGCUCAGAGUGAACGCUGGCGGCGUGCCUAAUACAUGCAAGUCGAACGAUGAAGCUUCUAGCUUGCUAGAAUGCUGAUUAGUGGCGCACGGGUGAGUAACGCAUAGGUCAUGUGCCUCUUAGUUUGGGAUAGCCAUUGGAAACGAUGAUUAAUACCAGAUACUCCCUACGGGGGAAAGAUUUAUCGCUAAGAGAUCAGCCUAUGUCCUAUCAGCUUGUUGGUAAGGUAAUGGCUUACCAAGGCUAUGACGGGUAUCCGGCCUGAGAGGGUGAACGGACACACUGGAACUGAGACACGGUCCAGACUCCUACGGGAGGCAGCAGUAGGGAAUAUUGCUCAAUGGGGGAAACCCUGAAGCAGCAACGCCGCGUGGAGGAUGAAGGUUUUAGGAUUGUAAACUCCUUUUGUUAGAGAAGAUAAUGACGGUAUCUAACGAAUAAGCACCGGCUAACUCCGUGCCAGCAGCCGCGGUAAUACGGAGGGUGCAAGCGUUACUCGGAAUCACUGGGCGUAAAGAGCGCGUAGGCGGGAUAGUCAGUCAGGUGUGAAAUCCUAUGGCUUAACCAUAGAACUGCAUUUGAAACUACUAUUCUAGAGUGUGGGAGAGGUAGGUGGAAUUCUUGGUGUAGGGGUAAAAUCCGUAGAGAUCAAGAGGAAUACUCAUUGCGAAGGCGACCUGCUGGAACAUUACUGACGCUGAUUGUGCGAAAGCGUGGGGAGCAAACAGGAUUAGAUACCCUGGUAGUCCACGCCCUAAACGAUGGAUGCUAGUUGUUGGAGGGCUUAGUCUCUCCAGUAAUGCAGCUAACGCAUUAAGCAUCCCGCCUGGGGAGUACGGUCGCAAGAUUAAAACUCAAAGGAAUAGACGGGGACCCGCACAAGCGGUGGAGCAUGUGGUUUAAUUCGAAGAUACACGAAGAACCUUACCUAGGCUUGACAUUGAGAGAAUCCGCUAGAAAUAGUGGAGUGUCUGGCUUGCCAGACCUUGAAAACAGGUGCUGCACGGCUGUCGUCAGCUCGUGUCGUGAGAUGUUGGGUUAAGUCCCGCAACGAGCGCAACCCCCUUUCUUAGUUGCUAACAGGUUAUGCUGAGAACUCUAAGGAUACUGCCUCCGUAAGGAGGAGGAAGGUGGGGACGACGUCAAGUCAUCAUGGCCCUUACGCCUAGGGCUACACACGUGCUACAAUGGGGUGCACAAAGAGAAGCAAUACUGCGAAGUGGAGCCAAUCUUCAAAACACCUCUCAGUUCGGAUUGUAGGCUGCAACUCGCCUGCAUGAAGCUGGAAUCGCUAGUAAUCGCAAAUCAGCCAUGUUGCGGUGAAUACGUUCCCGGGUCUUGUACUCACCGCCCGUCACACCAUGGGAGUUGUGUUUGCCUUAAGUCAGGAUGCUAAAUUGGCUACUGCCCACGGCACACACAGCGACUGGGGUGAAGUCGUAACAAGGUAACCGUAGGUGAACCUGCGGUUGGAUCACCUCCUU
Molecule: ribosomal RNA, 1501 nt
Filed under: Helicobacter pylori
Lineage: Bacteria; Pseudomonadati; Campylobacterota; Epsilonproteobacteria; Campylobacterales; Helicobacteraceae
Description: bacterial SSU rRNA
Rfam family: Bacterial small subunit ribosomal RNA
Source: RNAcentral